RNAcentral lists this microRNA precursor (100 nucleotides) under Marmota monax (woodchuck). Lineage: Eukaryota; Metazoa; Chordata; Mammalia; Rodentia; Sciuridae. The record is from RNAcentral.
AGUAGAAUUGCUGGGUCAUAUGGUAAUUCUAUUCUUAACUUUUGAGUAAUAGCCAUACUGUUUUUCCAUAGUAGCCACACCAUUUUAUAUUCUCAGCAAU